This 4270-nucleotide long non-coding RNA is filed under the name Homo sapiens (human). RNAcentral describes it as "non-protein coding lnc-DCLRE1C-1:4". The record is from RNAcentral. Lineage: Eukaryota; Metazoa; Chordata; Mammalia; Primates; Hominidae.
GGCGAGCGCGCGUGCUCCCGGAUCCUCGGCAGUGUCCGGCGCCCCCUUCCCUUCGCCAGGCCCGUUUGGCGCCUUCACUCGGGAAGACGUCGGCCAGGACUUUGCGCUUUGGAGACGUCUUACUUCGGCAGCACUCGCACACUGCGAGAUCCGACACGGGCAGCGGGGACCUAGGGAGCCGGGGACGCUGCCUGUCGGGUACGGUUCCGCAGCUACCGCAGCCCCGUGGGCCAUGGUUAGUCUCCCCCCGACACCGCUCCCUCUAGAGCUCCGGGCUUCGGAAGCGGCUGCACGUGGGCAUGGCUGGAGAGGUUCCGCUGGCUUGGGGCAGUCGCCGGGAUUCCGACUGGUUGGUGUGGGGUGUGGCCUGUGCUAUCCAGCUCCCAGCUGAUCCUAAUGUGCGGCACAGCGGAAACCACCGGUCCACAUCAGUGCUUCUCACUUAAAGGGGCUUACGAAUCGUCGGGGGUGGGGGAGCUGGACUUGGAAUUUUUUAAGAGAUGAGGUCUCACUCUGUCACCCAGGCUGGAGUGCAGUGGCGCGAUUACGGCUCACUGCAGACUAGACCUCCUGGGCUCAACUUUAAUGUAAAUUGGGAUUGGGUAGGUCUGUAAGGGGACCCGAGCUCCCCUCCCAUGUUGUUGCCAAGCUCCUGAGCUCGGCCUGGUGGCGGGUGGGGGCCGGGAGGAGAAGGACACGUUAGUAAGGAAGCUGCAGGACGACUCCAGGGGCCUCCCACCUGGUCUCCACCCCCCUCCCCCACCCAUUCUUGACGCUGCAUCCAUGAUUGUUCUAAACAACCUAAAGCAGAAAUCUUAGAGCAAAUAACGAAAACUGGCAGAAGGCCAUUUGAUAUCUCCUUAAAAAAUUCAUGUAAAAAAUUACAUAAACGUUUCAAAGCAGUAUGUAUAAAUUUGAAAUACUGGAAAUGAACGCAGACCAUUAAAGGAAUAGUUAAUUAUUUGAUUCCAUUAUGAAAUACUGUCUAGCCGUCUUAAAAAGGUGUUCAUGAAGCUUUUAGUAUUCAGCAAAACCAAAACAAAUCCCCCUGAAAUAUAGUUUUAACUAUGGAAGAAAAAAAUGUAUAGGAAAAUAACGAAAUAGCCUUUUCGGAGUGAUUUUCUUUUUAACUUCUCGUUUUUAAAUAUUUAAUCAUUUUCUACGAUGGGAAACACCACUUCCUCACACACACUCAUGCUCCCAGACUUUAUUUAGCUACAAACGGCAUCAUAAUACAAAUACUGUUCUGCAGUCCGUGUGUGUUUCAAUGCAACUGCAUUUCUCAGACAUGUUUCUAAGAUUUGAGUCCUUAGUAAAUUUUGUAUUCCAUAUCUCAUUACCUUGAGAUAAGGAAUAAAAGGCCCUGUCCAACCCUGUCACCUGGAAGAGCAUCCAGGCCCUUUAAGGCUUAGUCUAUCUAGGAUUAUGCCUUCAGACUUGGAUACAGCCUCCCGUCCUAACCGGCCCCUGUAUUCAUUACCUCUCCUGUAUGUUUUCAGAGCCCACCAAGGAGCGGCCAUCGCUACUCACUGGCCACUCUUGAAUCCUUUUUGGCUCCUUUUCCUCAGUCCAACCUGGGUUCCUCAGAGAAGAGACUGUAGUCCUGGGACUGCAUUUCUUUUCCGCCCUCUCCCUAUGUGACUGCCCCAAUUCCCAUGGAUUUAAAUAGCAUCUUGACACACAAGAUGCCUCACUUAUCGUCUCCGGCCCUGGCCUCUGCCUGAAUUCCAGGCUAGAAUAUCCACAGUGCGUAAUGGACAUAUGCCCUUAGGUGUUGCACAAACAUCUCAAAUUGAACAUAUCCGGAAAAAUACACUUCUGAACUUCGUAGCAUUCAGAAUAAAACUCAAACCUCCAGAUGGCCGGCAGGGCCUCCAGUGAUGGGAAUCCUGUCUCACCUCACUUGGUGCCACUCUCCCCUUUACUCAUUUUCCUGGCCUUUCCCCGGCCCCACUUACCCAGAAAUCUUUUACUGUGCAUCUCCUAUGUGCCAGGCACCUGAUAGGUGCUGGGAAUAUAGCAGUGGAUGAGAAAGAAAAAAGACCCAGUCCUCAUGGAGCUGACUUCCUAGUGACAGGAGCAGCGGAUAAAGCAAAUCACUGAAGGCAGCUGGAAAUUACUUUCCGGUUAAGAGGACAGGCUCCUUCCCCUCCUCACAUGGCUACCUUCAGAUCACUUGGGUCUCAGCUUAAACACCACCUAUUGACAGAGGCCUCGCAUGUUACCUCAUUCUUUAGCCCUACUUUGCAUCCUUAAAAAGCACUCAUCAAAAUUUGCAAUUAUCUUGUCGGGUUUUUGUUCUUUGGUCUUGAUUCAUAAUGAAUGCAUCGCACUAUUUUGUAAAUCCAGUGUUUCGUUUCGUGUCUUGAAUCCCAUCCAUUCCAGCGCAUAGAUGAGGCCCUGUCUGUUCAACAUUCAUCACCGUGUUUACUAUCUAGAGCAGCAAUUCUCAAAGUAUGGUAAUUGGGACCCGAAGACUCUUCACAGGGUUCAUGAGCGCAAAACUAUUUUCAGACCAACAUGUUCUCUGCCUUCCUUCGCUCAUGAGUACAUAGUGGAAUUUUCUAGAGGUUACACAAUUUGAAUAUUGCAACACAUUGAACGAAGACGCAGGUACCAGAACAUAGCUAUCUCCUAUUAAGCCAGACAUUAAAGAGAUUUGAAAAAAUACAAAAUACUGCUUUUGGCUAGGCAAAGUGGCUCGCACGUAUAAUCUUGGCACUUUGGGAGGCUGAGGAAUUGCUAGAGACCAGCCAGGGCAACCCUACUAAAAAAUUAGCUGGGCGUGGUGGCACAUGCCUGGGGUCCCAGCUACUCAGGAAGCUGAGGUGGGAGGAUCGCUUGAGCCCAGGAGUUUGAGGGUGUAGUGAGCUAUGAUCAAACCACUACAUUGCAGCCUGGGCAACAGAGCAAGACCCUGUCUCAAGACAAAAAACAAAAAAUAAAACCCCAGAUACCACCCUUGCCACUAAUUUUUUGUCUUAGAAAAAUUAUUUCUCAUAAAAAAUUAACUUUAUUACUUAGAAAUAAUUUUUAAAAUUGGUUUUAAUUUCCAUAUGGUAACUAUAGUUAUAUAACUACAUUUUAUGUAUAUGUAACAAACAAAAGCUCUAUGGGUUCUCAACAUGUUAUUUUUUAAGACUAUAAAGGGUUCCUGGGACUAAAAUGUUUGAGGGUGUUGGUAAAUCCUGGCUAUAAAUGGAGAGAGAAAUAAAAAGCCACUGAGAGACACACACCAGGGUCCUCAAGGGAAAAGUAGAGAAUCAUGACCCUUUCCCAGUAUUUUUUUCACAAAGACCACAUGAUUUCUGGAGUGUCUCCUCUUCUACUGAAAUAAACGUUCUCUUCUGAGAGGCAAAGAAUCAUAGAAUGAACACUAGAUUAAGAAUGUGAAUUUAAAUGAAAUAAUCCAUGUAAUGUGCUUAAAAUAGUAAGCAGUCAAGAAAAAUUAAGUUUACAAAAUAAGCAUCUGAAUGUUAGUUCAAAAUCCACCAUUUAUUCACUGUGAGACCUUGGAUACUUUAUUUAACUGCUGUGAAUCUAUUAUCUGGAAAACAGAAAUAACCAAGGCCAUAUUACUCUCUACAUAGUACAACUACUCGUGGAAUUGUGAUGAGAUCAAAAUUUUAAAAUGAGAUAAUGAAUUAAAGCAAAUAACAGUAUUAUAUGGUCACUCAUUAUCAUUUUAGAUAUUGUGAUUUUUCCCAUAGAACUUUUAUGCUAGGAUACUUUUAAGAAUUCUUAUACAUAUAAAAGCUUUCAGUUUGUGAUGAAUAUUUUGUGACCUCCUGUUAAGGACUGAACGUUUUCAUCUCUGAAAAAUUCCAGUGUUGAAAUCCUCGCCCCCAAAGUGAUUAUAUUGGGAGGUGGGGCCUUUGGGAGGUGAUUAAAUCAUGAAGGUGGAGGCUGCAUGCAUGGGAUUGACACCCUUACAAGAGGGACCCUUCAGAGCUCUCUCGCCCUCUAUCCUCCGUGUGAGGUUAUAAGGAUAGCUGGCAACCCAAAAGGGAGCCCUCAUCAGAACCCGGCCCCGCUUCCAGCCUGGUCCAGCACCCGAACUGACUUCCAGCCUCCAGAACUAUGAUACAUUUCUGAUGUUUACAAGCCACCCCCCAGACUAUGGUACUUUAUUAUAGCAGUCCAAACUAAGACACGUUCCAAGACUUUCACAUCAUAGGUAUUUCUUCCUAUUUUUAUAUUUGGCUCUGUUCUUCAGACAAUGUCAGAUGUAAAUAGGCAAAACUAUAAUUUGACAUAAGCUUUUAGUGGU